GGGUCAUUAGGUUGGUCGUGCCACCGGUACGUACUGAUCUCACUGAUUCCUCCUUCCUGAAGAACCGUAAUGCCAUUAAUUUGGUGUUGCGGGGAAACAGGACUGUUACUUUGAAAAAAUUAGAGUGUUUAAAGCAAGCUAACGCUUGAAUACAUUAGCAUGGAAUAAUGAAAUAGGACGAUCGAUCCUAUUUUGUUGGUUUCUAGGAUUGACGUA
RNAcentral lists this ribosomal RNA (216 nucleotides) under Glomeromycotina sp. RNAcentral describes it as "partial small subunit ribosomal RNA". The stretch from base 40 to 216 matches the Rfam family "Eukaryotic small subunit ribosomal RNA", at positions 686 to 864 of the family's 1831-position model. The record is from RNAcentral. Lineage: Eukaryota; Fungi; Glomeromycota.